Malaclemys terrapin pileata is the source of this 864-nucleotide long non-coding RNA. RefSeq lists it as uncharacterized. The transcript is spliced from 3 exons. Lineage: Eukaryota; Metazoa; Chordata; Testudines; Emydidae. The record is from RefSeq and is a predicted model, not a curated record.
ACCAGAAUUCAGGCAAAAAGUCUACUACAUUGCUCCCACCCAUGGCUACUAUUCCAGCUAAUGGAAUGAUAUAGAAUAGCAGUUUCAGCCUCUGUGCUAGCUGAGUGAGUUACUGAAGUUAUCUGUGUCCCUGCCCCAUCCUUGCCUCCAACCCAACCCCAUUGUGGACUUCCAUGUCUUUUUGCAGUACAUGGACACCUGACGCAGUUGAUCUGAAAGCUGAGCUCUAGCAAAAACCCUUUGUGGUGUUUUAGUGCCGCAUUUCACCCUAAGCGAAGAAUGCAAAAAUCAUCAACAUCCCAAGCAAAAGAGGCAAAGCACUGGGAUAUCUCAUGAACAAACACUAACACUGCAUUUUUGGCAAGGAACGAAUCUUGAAGACAGGAAGUGAUAAAAACGGCUAGAAAUAUAAAUGGUAUCUCAAGAACAUGAAACAACUGGCCAAAUUCUCCUCUCACACUGGUUUUGUGCUGGUGUAACUCCUGUCUUCACUUGUGUUACUCCUCAUUACCGUGAUAAAAAUGACCUCAACUGGAUGCCAGAUGGCCAAGUUGCUUUCAGUGUCUAGUAGACAAAUAUCUCUAUUCCACAAUCUGAUCUCGACCACCGUAAUAUCUCCAAUUCUACAUCUCCUUACAGCAUUUAAACUAUGAUUUCCAAAUCCAUCUCCAUGAGUUUCAUUGUGUAUCUUCUCCUGACCUGCUUUUAAGCAGCCAUUGUUUUUCACUACUGUCUUUUUACCCUCGUAAAUAUUAAAAGCCAGUUAUAUCAGGAUUGCUAGCACCUAUUGUGACGUUGUGCAGUCUAUAUGGUUUUAUAAAAACUUGAUAAUAAGUCAAUAUAAUGUAACUGAGAUAGUUUUAG